RNAcentral lists this ribosomal RNA (253 nucleotides) under uncultured bacterium. RNAcentral describes it as "partial 16S ribosomal RNA". It matches the Rfam family "Bacterial small subunit ribosomal RNA", at positions 524 to 776 of the family's 1533-position model. The record is from RNAcentral.
UACGUAGGUGGCAAGCGUUGUCCGGAUUUAUUGGGUUUAAAGGGUGCGUAGGCGGCUUUGUAAGUCAGUGGUGAAAUAUGGCAGCUCAACUGUCAGGGUGCCAUUGAUACUGCGGAGCUUGAGUACAGAUGAGGUAGGCGGAAUUGACGGUGUAGCGGUGAAAUGCUUAGAUAUCGUCAAGAACACCGAUAGCGAAGGCAGCUUACUAGGCUGUAACUGACGCUGAGGCACGAAAGUGUGGGGAUCAAACGGG